UGUUAAUUUUGAUGAAGGUCCAAUCUACUCAACUGCAACUUAUCCAACCUACCUGAAAGGUCAGUUUUCAGGUUAUUUCCAAAGAUGAUGAGGUUCUUUCUUUCGAAGUAUGCAGUCUAUUAUUGCUCGGACUCGUACUCUGCAUAUGUGUUUCCUUCUUCUUUUCAUGAUUUCAGUGUGGGUUUUUCUACCUUUUUGUGAUAUACUGGUGUUGAUGUAAAUGGUUUUUUAUUAGGG
RNAcentral lists this unclassified non-coding RNA (237 nucleotides) under Hevea brasiliensis (rubber tree). The record is from RNAcentral. Lineage: Eukaryota; Viridiplantae; Streptophyta; Magnoliopsida; Malpighiales; Euphorbiaceae.